This 1534-nucleotide long non-coding RNA is filed under the name Sinocyclocheilus anshuiensis. RNAcentral's name for it is "lncRNA (ENSSANG00000007725.1)". The record is from RNAcentral. Lineage: Eukaryota; Metazoa; Chordata; Actinopteri; Cypriniformes; Cyprinidae.
CCGGGGGCUAUCCACGCGGGGGUGGUCUCAUUCGAAAGAGGGCCUCGAGACGUACACUCGAUUCGCGUUCGAGAGGGUUCCUCGAGCUGAAGGGAUCCCCCGAAUUUGGUGCGGAUUCGCCGCGCCGUUACGGAGAUAUGGCCGUUCAAAGUUCCAAUGGUUUUCCAUAGACAAGCUUUAAAGCGUUUCAUCCAGGUCGCCAGUAGCAAACAAUGUGGAGCGCGCUCUGCUGGACAAACUAAGUGCCAUGAUCUUCUAGCCACACUGAAUGGACGACAGCAGGGCUGGAUUUUCAUUGGCUGGCCUGAAGCACCUCUGCUGGGUGGGUGUGGUGUGGCUGCGGUCGGUCACGGCCACUCGAGAAAACAAACCAUCUAUCCACUGUUGAGAGGAGCCACAGAGAAGAGCUGAAAAAUCUCCAGAAGAGAGGCCACAAAGGCCUUCUCCCUACAGCACAACACUAACUCAUGCCAUGCUUGUUCAUUGCCAAAUCAGAGGCACAAGGACACAAUACACUCUUACGCCAAUAUCUACUCUUUGGAAACUCUUUUGCAAUCCAUCGAGGUCAAGAACAUUCCAUUGAACUAUGAUAAAUGACAACUAAAGCAUGAUUUUCCUUUCUUCUUCACUUUGAUUGGCAGUAGAGCAUGUUCAUGUUGCUUCCAAAACGCCUUAUGGACACUGCGUUAAACGAAACAUCUACAGAAAUGCAGAACAUCCCCAUGGGAAAGUGCAAGUUUACUUGAGCAGGAUGUGAAAUGCCUGUGGUACUUCUAUUUACAUAUCUGUGAAAUGGAUUUUAACCUGGAACUUGUAGAGAUUUUACAGCACAAUGUAUUAUCGAGGACUUCCUCUUGUUUUAAGAUUUCUUGAAGGUUUAAACAUUUGAUAAAUGCAUUUAAUUUAUGUGUUUGUGACAAAACAAAACAGUAAAGAGAGAAAUUGCACAUGAGAUUACAUGAUGGAUGAUGAGGGUAUUGAUGUUUGUAACCCUUUUCCUUUGGAUUUGAAUGCUGGAUUAUCUUUAAAGGAAUAGUCUGGGUUUAAUACAAGUUAUGCUCUGUCGAUAGCCUUUGUCACGUAAUGUUGAUGAAUUUCAACUAGUUCCUCGUUCCAGUGAGGUACUUAACAAUGGGGCCAUUUUAUAAACAAUAGGGCCUUUCGCACCGCUUUAGUUCCAGAACUAAAUGUACAGUACUAAAGUACUGGGACGAUUUUGCGCGAACUAUUUCCCAGUACCAUUUAAAGUGUUGCAUUCGCACCGACAGUGUGUACUAAGAAGUGACGUAAGCCGGUUGACAGCGGCGUCAUUUGUGCGCCGCGUUCAACAACAGAAACAAAGAAGAACAACAUUAACAACAGGAGUAUGGAGGACGCUGUGAUCGGAGCUGUUUUUGUGUCUCGCGGGUUUCACAAUAAUAGACAUGGAAAGUCGACGUAUACGUAAAGCGAUUGAAAGAACGGAAAGGAGGACUAAGAAUCUCCAACGACAACUGGCAGUGCUACAUUUGCUACAAGUGCCUGCACUUCAGCG